UCCUCGGGGGGCUGCAGUGGGGAAUAUUGCGCAAUGGGCGAAAGCCUGACGCAGCAACGCCGCGUGCGGGAUGAAGGCCUUCGGGUUGUAAACCGCUUUCAGCAGGGAAGAAGCGAAAGUGACGGUACCUGCAGAAGAAGCACCGGCUAACUACGUGCCAGCAGCCGCGGUAAUACGUAGGGUGCAAGCGUUGUCCGGAUUUAUUGGGCGUAAAGAGCUCGUAGGCGGUUAGUCACGUCGGAUGUGAAAACCCGGAGCUUAACUCCGGGCCUGCAUUCGAUACGGGCUGACUCGAGUGUUGUAGGGGAGACUGGAACUCCUGGUGUAGCGGUGAAAUGCGCAGAUAUCAGGAAGAACACCAAUGGCGAAGGCAGGUCUCUGGGCCAUAACUGACACUGAGGAGCGAAAGUGCGGGGAGCGAACAGGAUUAGAUACCCUGGUAGUCCGCACCGUAAACGGUGGGCACUAGUUGUGGGAACCUUCCACGGUUUCCGCGACGCAGCAAACGCAUUAAGUGCCCCGCCUGGGGAGUACGAUCGCAAGAUUAAAACUCAAAGGAAUUGACGG
This 567-nucleotide ribosomal RNA is filed under the name uncultured bacterium. RNAcentral's name for it is "bacterial SSU rRNA". It matches the Rfam family "Bacterial small subunit ribosomal RNA", at positions 338 to 916 of the family's 1533-position model. The record is from RNAcentral.